GCGCGCCAGCGGAGGAAAAUAGGCUUGCAGAGGACUCCCUUCUCUCUCCUCCUGGAAACCUUCCCCAACCUUGUUCCCCUGCCAAGGAUUAGUUGCCGUUGAAGGGGGCUCCGCCAAUGAAAUCUUCUCUGCGCUCUGAUUUGGCGGUUCUUCGGUGCAAAUAUGACAGCUUUCUCUCUCAGCUCUUUUCUGCAUCUCUCCAUGUCCGACCCCGGAGCCCAGUUCUCGGUCUGCAAUUUCUACACCACAACCUUUGCAAUCACCACCACCACCACCCCUAGGUCCCAUGUCAGCAGGUGCCAGGUUGCUACAAAGGUGACAGGGCACAUUGGGAAGAAGGCUUGUUGAUUGCAGAAGAUACUUAUGCCCCGUGUUUCCAGUGCUAUGAAGUGCAAUGAGCUGGCCUGAGACUGUCAGAUGGAUUCUCCAGGGAAAGUGUUUUCCAGGAGCUUGCCAUGAACUGGAUUUAAGGUCACCACUGUAGAUAUUCCCUGCCUUUCUUCACUCACUCUUCUGUCUAUGGACGCCUGUGCUGACUGUGUAUCUUGCCUGCUGGAAACAUUGCCUCCUCAAACACACAAGGCAGGAUGUCUCUCCAGCAUACUGACCUCCCUUCGCUGGAAUAUUUGCCCAGUAAAGGGAUUGAUGAAUCUCAUGGAGACAUUUAGAGAAAGCUGCAAAUGAUCAAAACACAGAGAGUAACUGACUAUGGGUGCCUAGCCCUAACUGAUACAUCCACAAUAUGACCUUACACCCAAGACUCAAGAAACAUGGAGGAUGUUCAGAAAGAUUACAAGAGCCAGAAGCCUAAAAUCUCCUUUAUGCAUAGAGAACUUUUCCUUGGUAACAGACCUGGAGCAUCCUGUGCAGAUUCCGUCCAGGGCCUGUCUUGUGAUAAUCGAGUCAGAAGCUUCCUGGGGACUUCCUUUCCUGCAAUCACAGCUCCUCUCCUACACACAGCAAGUUUCUAGUGCUGUUCUUGCCAUUAGCCCUACUGUGUGCAAAGUGCAUCCACACAGAAAUCUGCUGCAUAUCUGAAAUUGCCUCUGCUUCGUCCUUAAGAAGCCUAAACUUGUAUGAUCCUUGCUGACUGUGCAGUCUCACACAGAAUUCAGUUGCCUGUGGUGGGAAGACAGCAAGGACUAUACCUUCUCUAUCAGGGCAUCAGCAUUUCUAACACAUCUUUUGUCCCAUGCUUUAUCAACCUAUGCACCUCUCAGAACCUCAUGAUGACUUGAUUCUCAAAAGCAUGUCCUAUGUUGCUUACAGAACUUUCUGUGCAUGUUAGGAGAGAUCCUAUUUUACUAACUUGUGUAUUUAAAAGACAUGUUUCCACUCCCAUGAAGGUAUCAAAACAUAUUUUCAGACAACAAAAAAUGACAUAUAUUUUACUUCGAGAUGGGCCACAAUCAAUUCAUUGGAGAAUAUUGACUAAACAUGGUAGUUUAUACCACCAGGAAUAAGUGUAAACACAUAAGGAAAUUACAACUGUAUUGUGGCAAUUGUAAGUUCUGUCCUCUUUGCUUGAGAUUGAGGAUAUGAAAUAUUAAUUUAAAUAUAAGAAAAUAACAUACAUUCUAAUCACAGUGGAACUAUACACAAGAAUGCUAAAAUUUUGGGUGUAUAUAACUAAGCAAAAAUUCAAUGACCUAAUUAUAUGUUUGCUCAAGAAGAGCCUGUUACUAACUUGAAAUGAGGAACUAGUAUUUUGCUUUUAUAUUUUGAUAAUGAAGGUAGUGUUGGAUUGGAAAUGAAAACAUAAUAAAAUCCAGUUGUCACUCA
Molecule: long non-coding RNA, 1782 nt
Filed under: Mus musculus (house mouse)
Lineage: Eukaryota; Metazoa; Chordata; Mammalia; Rodentia; Muridae
Description: RIKEN cDNA 9330158H04 gene
Source: RNAcentral